Long non-coding RNA from Monomorium pharaonis (pharaoh ant), 638 nucleotides. RefSeq lists it as uncharacterized. The transcript has 3 exons. The record is from RefSeq and is a predicted model, not a curated record. Lineage: Eukaryota; Metazoa; Arthropoda; Insecta; Hymenoptera; Formicidae.
ACAGGAUGAUUUCAAAUACAAAAAAUUGAAGAGAAUAUUUAUUCUUAUUACUCUUAUACAAGACAUAAAGAAGAAAGUCUUGUAAAUGUAUACUUCUUAAAUUGCUUCGUUGAACACUUAAUAUACUAUUAUUAAUAUUAAAUUUAUUUAUACGCACACUUAAUAUAAAACUGUUUCACCAAUACAGGGAAAAUUUUUAAUAUAUAUGUGUGUGUGUGUGUAUGUGUGCAUGUGUGUACAUGUAUAUACUAAAUUUGAAUAAAAUAUGCCUUAGUGUUUUCCAGAUUUUCAACAAAACAUGUGAUUUUGACAUAAUCUAAUUGUAAAGGACUAAAGAUGGUACAGGUUUGUCCUUGGUUAAAGUUUCCUGAGCAUGUGCGAGAAUACACGUGUCCGAACAAUAAAUGCUAGAGGGUCUGGCUUCCUUCUUACAAACAACACACUGCAUUGUGUUAGAAGUUGGAGUGGCGUCACUGUGAUCAGUGGAAGAAUUCGAUGGAGAUUACAGAUACUUACCCAUGGCUUUGCUGACGUGUACACAUUUUCCAUGGAACCAGUCUUCACAAACGUCGCAGCAUAUCAUAAAUCGAUUAUUAUGUGGUCGUUUGCAGAUACACCAUAAUCGGUCUGGAUCAUCU